CCCACGGGUGGCAGCAGUGAGGAAUAUUGGUCACUGGGCGCGAGCCUGAACCAGCCAAGUCGCGUGAGGGCAGACGGCCCUACGGGUUGUACACCUCUUUUGCCGGGGAGCAACGGGCGCCACGUGUGGCGCCACUGCGAGUACCCGGAGAAAAAGCAUCGGCUAACUCCGUGCCAGCCGCCGCGGUAAUACGGAGGAUGCGAGCGUUAUCCGGCUUUAUUGGGUUUAAAGGGUGCGUAGGCGGAGCGUUAAGUCAGUGGUCAAAUUGAGGGGCUCAACCCCUUCCCGCCAUUGAAACUGGCGCUCUUGAGUGGAAGAGAAGUAUGCGGAAUGCGUGGUGUAGCGGGGAAAUGCAUAGAGAUCACGCAGAACCCCGAUUGCGAAGGCAGCAUGCCGGCUUCCGACUGACGCUGAAGCACGAAAGCGUGGGGAUCGAACAGGAUUAGAUACCCUUGUAGUC
Molecule: ribosomal RNA, 460 nt
Filed under: uncultured bacterium
Lineage: Bacteria
Description: partial 16S ribosomal RNA
Rfam family: Bacterial small subunit ribosomal RNA
Source: RNAcentral